Molecule: ribosomal RNA, 496 nt
Filed under: uncultured bacterium
Lineage: Bacteria
Description: partial 16S ribosomal RNA
Rfam family: Bacterial small subunit ribosomal RNA
Source: RNAcentral
AUGCACGCUGGCGGCGUGCCUAAUACAUGCAAGUCGAGCGAACGGACGAGAAGCUUGCUUCUCUGAUGUUAGCGGCGGACGGGUGAGUAACACGUGGAUAACCUACCUAUAAGACUGGGAUAACUUCGGGAAACCGGAGCUAAUACCGGAUAAUAUUUUGAACCGCAUGGUUCAAAAGUGAAAGACGGUCUUGCUGUCACUUAUAGAUGGAUCCGCGCUGCAUUAGCUAGUUGGUAAGGUAACGGCUUACCAAGGCAACGAUGCAUAGCCGACCUGAGAGGGUGAUCGGCCACACUGGAACUGAGACACGGUCCAGACUCCUACGGGAGGCAGCAGUAGGGAAUCUUCCGCAAUGGGCGAAAGCCUGACGGGGCAACGCCGCGUGAGUGAUGAAGGUCUUCGGAUCGUAAAACUCUGUUAUUAGGGAAGAACAUAUGUGUAAGUAACUGUGCACAUCUUGACGGUACCUAAUCAGAAAGCCACGGCUAACUACGUG